GUAGUGUGCCUAGUGGACAUGACAUCUGCCCGGUAAGCGGAACACUGUGGGUUCGAUUCCCAUCCCUGGACA
Molecule: transfer RNA, 72 nt
Filed under: Cordylochernes scorpioides
Lineage: Eukaryota; Metazoa; Arthropoda; Arachnida; Pseudoscorpiones; Chernetidae
Description: tRNA-Thr
Source: RNAcentral